RNAcentral lists this ribosomal RNA (393 nucleotides) under Triticum aestivum (bread wheat). RNAcentral describes it as "partial small subunit ribosomal RNA". The record is from RNAcentral. Lineage: Eukaryota; Viridiplantae; Streptophyta; Magnoliopsida; Poales; Poaceae.
AUGACACUGCGCUGCCAGCACCACCAGGUAAAUGUUGAGCUUGCUUUUUGGUUGGUAAAUGUUGAGUUUGCUUUUUGGUUAUUGGGACACUCUUGCUCACUGUUGGUCUUUGUCUUUAGUUCUUUGACCGGGGACGAUGACGUGCCGAAGGUGAUUCCUCCUUCAGCCACCAACGCAUCCUCGGGGGAUGUUGUGGAGGUUCCGGCAGCCCCCGAUCCUGGAAAGGCUCGUGUUUUACGGGACCAUGCCAGUGGUCCUGUUGGAGGGCCGGACCCGAGCUUUUCCUUCCGCCAUGACCGGCUCAAGAGGAUGGACCGCCAAGGACAACCCAUCUCGCCCCUGUCGCCCGCCGAAGAAGGUGGAGCGGGUGCUGACGAAAAGGACGACCGGUGA